AUAGCACUAUACGGUGAAACUGCGAAUGGCUCAUUAAAUCAGUUAUCGUUUAUUUGAUAGUACCUUACUACAUGGAUAACCGUGGUAAUUCUAGAGCUAAUACAUGCUAAAAACCUCGACUUCGGAAGGGGUGUAUUUAUUAGAUAAAAAACCAAUGCCCUUCGGGGCUCCUUGGUGAAUCAUAAUAACUUAACGAAUCGCAUGGCCUUGCGCCGGCGAUGGUUCAUUCAAAUUUCUGCCCUAUCAACUUUCGAUGGUAGGAUAGUGGCCUACCAUGGUAUCAACGGGUAACGGGGAAUUAGGGUUCGACUCCGGAGAGGGAGCCUGAGAAACGGCUACCACAUCCAAGGAAGGCAGCAGGCGCGCAAAUUACCCAAUCCCGACACGGGGAGGUAGUGACAAUAAAUACUGAUACAGGGCUCUUUUGGGUCUUGUAAUUGGAAUGAGUACAAUUUAAAUCCCUUAACGAGGAACAAUUGGAGGGCAAGUCUGGGCCAA
Molecule: ribosomal RNA, 498 nt
Filed under: Cladosporium sp. N56
Lineage: Eukaryota; Fungi; Ascomycota; Dothideomycetes; Cladosporiales; Cladosporiaceae
Description: SSU rRNA
Rfam family: Eukaryotic small subunit ribosomal RNA
Source: RNAcentral